CCGUUGUUUCCAGAAUUUGCAACUGCUUUCUUGUUAAAUUUGUUCAAGGUUGAGGUCCUCUUAUUAUGCAGAUGGUACAGAUAGUGAUUUUGUCUAACUGUACUUUUUAUUACUAUCAAGCAUGAGUACUGUACAUGAGCUGCUUAGUUCAUACAGCAUACAAGAAAACAUAAACAAGUUGUUCACUAUGUUUUACUCUUUACAUUUUCUACGCGUCCAAUUACCCCUCUGAACUAGCCGGGAAUGGAUUUAUCACACCGUAUGUGCUGACAUGGCAUAGAGAGUGAUUACACUCUUACAACACCAUGAGAGACUGUAAAAGAGCACUGCCUUGACCGAUUACUGAUGAAGGCCAGCCAUUCUAAGUUCUGAGGUUUGGUCGAAUAGGCCGAUUGGAUCUGAUCAUAGCUUCGAGUUCAGGUGCCUCCUGCAGCUAGCUAACUCACGUGCAGCUUCACCAAGAUCAAUUCCACAAAUAUCAGAAAGUCUGACAAGAUGAAGAAAUUUAGUUGUCAGCAAAAUCCUGAAUAACCCAAAAGAACACAUUGAGAUUUCAGAUUUUCAAGAGGCACACUUGUAUAAGAUCAUAUAUCAACAAUCUGGAAAUCUUCCUUUUCUCUACAUAACAAUCUAUUGUUUUAUCACGUGUACAUUAGGUAGACCAUCUACAUCAUACCCUUGGGAUGCAACCCUUUCUCGGACCCUGCUAAUGCAGGAUGAUUUGUGCACUGGGCUAUCCCUUUUAUUGUUUUGUUAUCUAUUGUUUUAUAACUACUUCUAAUGAUACAAAGUGCAAACGAGGCCACAAAUAUGGAGAUGCAGAAGACCAUUAAAGCUGCAAACCAAUGAUGGCAAAACUGCUAUAUUAUUAUUAUUCCCUGUAAGAGCUACCACUGCUGUCUGUAAUAUACAUAUUGAGAUGAUGCCCCACCAUCUAAGAAAUUCCAAAUGUGUCACAUAGCCAGCGUACAAGAAAUUCCAAAAGAAAAUAUAUAAGUAAAGGGAUUGUAGAAAGAUUGCAUGCUGCUGCAACAUGAAAUUUUAUAACAAUUGAAAACUAAAAAGCAUAUGAAUAAGGAUGAGAAAUGUACCUCGGAAAAGGAUCUUCCAAGAGAAUGCUAUGUAGAUGCAAGUUCGGGUAGAAAUUAGAGGAAGAAUCCAUAUUUCAAGCCAGCGAAUCCAUAUACGACUUAAUGUUCAUUAUAUCUACUCUGGACUUUGGGUUAUUUUGUGGUAUGAAAAGCUUCCACAUCCCCACUGGAUGUUGACUUCUCGCUUCAGUAUCUCUUGAAAAUCUUGCAUACAUUGAUUCACACUCUGGAUAAGGCUUUACAUAUAGAUUAUAAAAUUUCACUCUACUCGGUUUAAUCAACUCUCUCAACCCCACCUCAUCACCAAGUCCUCCUAUUGAUCUUAAGUGGUCAAUUACCUUGAAUCUUGGUAGAAUAUGUUUAUCGAAAUUCACCCCAAGGUACUCAGGAACUUCAACAAGACAUUGAAUAUCAAAUUUCAUCACGUGCAACAAAAACUCAAUCUUCCUCUCAACAUCAUCUAAGCUAUAAAGUAUCACUCUCGGCUCUUUCCAUAACACAGAAUAAGCAUCCCUUAAGGUUAUCCCGUGAUUGCGCAAGCAAUCAACCCUUAGUUUCACCUCAUACCCAGCCUUAAAAGCCCCAUCUUGAAAAAUAUCCUUCUUAAUAGCUUCCCUACAUUUCAAACUCUUAAGCAGCUCCAAACACCGCGAUAACUCCCCAAAUUCAAAUGCAAGAAUUCUAGGAUCUCUCAGAAGCUGUUUCUUAACCACCUCCAUGUUAAAACCCAGAGCUCUAAAUUCAUCAAGCAAUCGUUUAAACUUAUUUUGAAAUCCAUAGACCAAAACAGCCGGAUAGACACGGAGAAUGCGAUCGAAUUCAACAUUGCCAAUCCCAAAGGCAUCAACGACAAAUUCAAAACUGUCACGAACCUUGUCUGCAGACAUCGUAAUUACCAUGGGAUGCGUCUCCAAAACCUUAUUUAGAGUAAUAUCACUAACCCCUAAAUCCUUCAGACAUUUCAAAGACCCCAAAACACAAUCAUAAUCUAGUUCAAAUUUCAUUGAGACCUCCAGAAUAUUCCGAAUAGCCAAGGAGGAUAAAUUGGACCCUUCUUCGAAUCCUCGCAUGCAUCCUUCCCAUUUCUUUAUAGCAUCAUAUUCUAGAACCCUGGGACAACUACUUAUCAUGGAUACAAGGAAUUCUUGAGAUGGUUUCAAGGAUAAUAGAAUCUUAAGGGAAUUUUCAAUUUUGGCGGGGUCUAGAUUUAGUAAACGACGAUUCUUCUUGAGAAAAUUAGUAAGUUCUAGAGCUGGAAAACCAUAUUUUUUUAGAAGACAUGACACUGCAAUGAGAUUUCUUUGGGGAGAUUUUUCUUGGAAUUGUAGAGGAUAUUGAACUUGAGAUUUUCUUUUUACAGUUGUUGUGUUAGUGCAAAAACAGCGGAGACUUGGAUUUGGAAUUAGAGUAGAGGGAUUAGAAAAUGACAUAAAAAAGAUUCUGAUACUCCUACUGGUCAUGGUUUCAGCUGGUUAGUAAGUUUUAAAAGGUAUCUGAUCACCUAUCCGCAUUCAAACGCAUUGAUGGCCUAAUGAACAACCCUCAAAAUCUGAAAAAAUUGAUUAAAACACGUAAGUAUAACUAUGGUUCUAGUAAACUUCGUAAAGUAACAAUUAACAGUCUCUCUGUGUGAGAAAAUAUAAACUGCACAUUUAGCUACCCCGGAACAUGUUUAAAUUGUAUCCUUCCACCCAGUUCUGCAGUUUAGUCGCAUAUUCUCUUAACACCACCCGCAACUAGGAAUAGAAAAUAUUCCACUCAACUCACAUGUAAGAAUUGAAUAAGUUGAAAUAUUCAUUACUGUUAUCUUGAAAGGCUUACUACCUCUUUAAUUAGUAGCAAAUAAGUGAAAAGGUUUCUUCUUUUCCUUUUCCUUUUCUCUCGCAUUAACAUAACUCGACUAUAACUUACAUUAAGGGGUGUCAAAUUAAUGGGGUUGAGCUGAAACUAUGUCAGUUAAAUGGGCUAAAUCAACAAAUGAGCAUGUCGUAACCCGAAAAGAUCCUCUUAUCAGAUUACUACUAGCUAACAUCAGAUAAGCACAACACAACACAACAUUAGAUGAGUACAACACACAAAAGAUACUUCCAGUAAAACACGACAAUACGACCACAGAAUAACCAAAUUAGUUCAGAUUACACUAGCUUUUGGUCGAGCAUUUUCAGAUUCCAUCUGCGAUACGUUACAAUCAUAUAACCUAUAGAUAAACUAGCAGCAUAACCUUCAGAAAGCUAAAUCCACUAAAAUAUACAAGGGGAAGGAAAUUAAAGGAUUAAAAUACAGAAUCAUUGCCACCAAGUUUGAAUCCUUACAAAUUCAAAUCCACAAAAAUCAACAAGGCUAAGGAAGAUAAGAAACAAAUUACAAGACCCAUUGCCACAAAGUUUGAUUCUUUAGUAAUUCAAGUGACUCAGCAUAACCUUCAGAAAGCUAAAUGCACAAAAAUCAACAAGGGGAAAGAAAAUCAAGAGAUAAAUUACAGAACCCAUUACCACAAAGUUUGAAUCUUUACUAAUUCAAGUGACUUAUCAUAACCUCAAGAAAGCUAAAUCCACAAAAAUCAACAAGGGGCAGAAAAAUCAAGAAACAAAGAGUAUUACCCAUUGCCGCAAAGUUUGAGUCUUUACUAAUUCAAGUGACUUAAAACAAAUUGCUAAAACCAUAACUCAAAGAUUUUAGGGAUUGUUUAUAAGAAUUACCUGAAAUCAGAAGAAUCUUAGGAGAAUGGCGAUUACACUGUUAGGGCUUUUUACCAUACAGAGUACCAUCAACCUUUGAAAGCAUUUUUUUAAGGCAUAAAACACAUUUUGUCAAAUAAUAAACAAAAAUUUAGAUGGUUAACUCGAGAGUUAAAUUACUAUAAUAUUCAUAAUUAAAAGUAUUACUUCAUUUUAAUUGUUAAAUUAC
RNAcentral lists this long non-coding RNA (3998 nucleotides) under Solanum lycopersicum (tomato). RNAcentral describes it as "long non-coding RNA (SLYC_LNC000724)". The record is from RNAcentral. Lineage: Eukaryota; Viridiplantae; Streptophyta; Magnoliopsida; Solanales; Solanaceae.